Molecule: non-coding RNA, 28 nt
Filed under: Rattus norvegicus (Norway rat)
Lineage: Eukaryota; Metazoa; Chordata; Mammalia; Rodentia; Muridae
Source: RNAcentral
UGUAAUAAGUUCUGUCAGCAGGUGAAGC